ACCCGCUGGGGGGCUGCGCUGGGGCUGGUCCCCGCGGGGGGGACGCCAAUACAAGGCCACUGACGUCUCGUGGCCGGAUGACGGGCCGGAUUGGGCUGCCGGCAUGGUGCUGGCUGCCUGCGUGCCCCUGGUGCUGGGGCUUGCAACCUGCUGUAGGGGCAGAGGGCUCGUAGCUGGGUGUAACUGUUUCACUGCCAUUUUUUCCUAGGGGACUGAUGGUAUGGGUCUAUUAUUCUUCUCUUUCAAGGAGACAAAAGGUGUCUUGCUUUACCUCCAAGCCGGAUACUUCAGAGAAAAGGAUGGUCCUUGCCGUUCUCCCAAGCCACAGGAGAACCAGAGAGUUCCUGUUUUGGAGCCUGCGUCAUUUCUGAAGAAAAUGUGGAUCUAAGGCACAUAUGCUUGACUAAGGUGUCUGGGAGAACAUGAAGAACCUCCUGCAGUCUGGACUUCUGCUUCAGGGAGGUUCAGGAUUUGGAAGGUACAUUGUUGUACCCUGGAUGAAAACAUGCCAGUAGAGCUGUGCGUAGUAUGUAUUUAUUUAUAGUAUGUAUUUAUAGUCUGCACAGGAAUUUAUUGCAUCUCAUAAUAAUCAGAUGGACAUCUAUGUUUGCAGUGACUACUUGCAUGAAAUAAAGAAUGAGAUGUUAGAGGCUCAUCAUGAUCUCUGCUUUGGGGGAGGGCUAAAGAGACUUUAAAUAAUCUUCAUACCCUUUUGAUUCUGGGCUUUAUGGUAGAAAGCGAGUGUUCUGUGUAUCGGUUACCAAACAGCCUGCGCUAGGAUUGAAGUCCUAACUACAGUUCUCCUAAGUUUAAUCAUCUUUCUGUCAUGAAUUUUGUUUAUGCUAUAAGCUUCAGGCAACGCCUCCCUCCUUGGUGCUUCACUAGUAGCACCGUGUAGUCAGCUCACAUCUUGCAGACGUUUCCUGGUCUUAACAUCCUUCUCCACGUCUGCACAUCUAUUCUUUGUGCAGAGAUAUUCGUGUGUUUUCUGAUGGGUUACAAAUAUCCUAAUCAUUAGUCUAUUGUCUAAUUGCUUACCAGCCACACCCACAAGUUCCUCUUUACUCCAUCACUCAUUCCUACUGUUGAAGACAGAAUAUUGGGCUAGAUAUUUUUGCCUAACAGGGUAUUUCUUAUCUUCAUACUUCAGUUAUGCUGUCUUUACAGCAUUGUUUUAGCUUUACAUAAUGGGUCCUAAAGGAUACCACAAGGAGGUCAGAAGUACAUAUUAUCAGUGAAAUGGGACCUUUAUUGUUCAAACAUGUCAUGUCUUCCUCAAAUUUCUGUUCUACUGGGGGUCUUCUUAUCCAAGCUUUCCUCUAUAAAUAAAUAUAUGAAUGUUCUGUCAUGUGGUGUCUGCAAAUGUUCAUAUAACAUAAAUUACUGAAACCAGAUAAAAUACUCUCAAAUAUGAUCUGUUGGCACUUAGCCAUUUUCCAUGAAGUAUGCAGGUUAACAUGCCCACAGGUUUACUUGUUCCUCUGGUACUGGAAGCUGAAACAAAGUGAUUAAGGAUGAACUUCCAGGUUUAUGCUAUACUGCAACUGCAAUCACUGAAAGAGCCUUAAUGUGGUGUAAGUAGAAAUAAAACUGGAAUUUGCUCCAAAAUAAUAGGAAAAAAAAAUUGAGCACUCCAGCUGCUAUAGGUUGGCUCCCUCAAUCACUUGCCUCUGUACCUGCAGAGACAGAAGUCUAGCAACCAGACUCUGCACGUAUUUCAGGGGAGAAUAUAUAUGCUUUGUCUUGACCCUGUUAAGAGAUUCCUGAGUAAUUUUAAGAUCAGCUCCAGCUGUAUGUAUUUGCUUGAUUUCCUUGUUACUUGUAUCUUUGGAUUUAGGGCUGUAAUCUGUUAAUCCCCAAAAUAUCACCAGAUAAUCUGUUUAAUCAUAAGCAAAUACUUAUCUUGGUAGUCAAUAGAAUAUAAGUUAUGCAAAAUAAUUCAGGCUUACUGCUAGGCAAGUUUAGAAUCUGUCAACACAGCUCUUUUACUGUUAGUCCACAAUUAAGAGUAAGUUUUCGUCUGAGUUUCAGUUCAGGUAUUUUUGUUCUGAGGCAUAAUUGAAAUCUUUCAUGGUGUUUGAUAUGGAAUUUUGACCUUGUAAAAAGUCUUAAUUCUGAAGCAAUUGUCUAAAAUAUUUAUAAUGUGAAGUAUUUGGUAGUGGCUUCAUAAUUGAUAUCGAAUUGUUAAUGAUAGCACAAUUAUCUAGAAAGACCCAAAUCUUAGUGUCAUAAAACUCUCUAGUGUUCAGUAUCCAUAGAGCUACAGGACAAAAGUCCAGGCAUGUUCUUUAAUAGUUAAUAUGUAGUAAUUAAUAUGACAUAGUUCUUAUAGGCAGGAAAAUGGCCAGAAACUCCUGUGAGUUUAUUUUACGGCUUGUUAAUAGGAAACUAUUCUCAGCAGCAGAGGGCAACGAUGACCUGGUUUUAUCUACGUUGCGUACUUCUGUCCGACAUUAAGCAACGAAGUUCAAAGAAAUCUCAUCUUUCUUGGGGGGCGGGGGGAAGAAUAACCCUGUGAAUCCUUCAUAAAUGAGCUGGUAUAUCAAAUAGUAAUGUUACCUCUGGGCUCAACUGCUGCAUGUUACUUGGCUUAUAAAAGGUUUAGGUGUUACACAUGACAGCCCCGUUACCUUAGCGCUUCACUGUCUCUCUUGGUUCUCAAAGGAUAUUUUUCAGCUACAGGACUGGUUUGAGUUUACUAAGAGACUGACUCAUCCCUGAGGCCAUCACAUCCCACACGAUAUUUACGUCUUUGGGACAAUUAAACCCUAAUGUAUUUUGGGAGAGGCUUCUUCCCAAGAAGGGCCUGUCUUUGAACACUCUUAACUAAAUUCUUGCACGCUUCUGGAAGAGAUGCAAUUACUACAUACAUCACCAUUACACUUUUUUUUACCUAUAAGUGAGGACAGAGGGAGUCAUCUUACUAAUUCUAGUUAGAAUGUCAUGCUCAAAAACUGUACUCUGAGCCAAACUGCUUUUUUAGAACAAGCAUGUACAAUUGUACUCCUUUGCUCUGUACUUCUGAGUCAGUAGCCCUGUAGGAAAGAGUAUCUGCAGUAGGGUGAGGCCUUUAAUGAACUGAGCUAGAGCCCCUACCAGCAAAAGAAGAUGAAAUCUGAUCUAGACCCACGGCCAUUCAGAAAUGUUUCUGUUGCUCAUCUCUGUUCAUUUGCCUCAGGGUGCUUUGGACUAGUUUGGCAUUGAGUCUUCACAUUGUGAAAUGCUGAAGUGAGCAGAUCUGUCUUUGCAAUAUGCCUAAUAUAAUGGAGCCUGUUCCUGAUUAGAUCUUUGAGUGGUACUGUAAUAUACUUUCUUUGAUUCCUGCCUGGCAGCUCGUGUGUCCGAAUUAAGUAUUUCCAUAUAUUUAGUUGUUUUGAUUUUAUGUUCAGAAGCUGUUAUCCCCAAUCUCUAGGUAUCCUGGCAAUUCUCAGGUGGUGUCAUAUCAAGCUCUUAUUCUCACUUGGUGUGCUUGACUGCUGAAAUCAGAAAUGGGCAGUUCAGAUAGAUUCUAUGCUUAGUUAACAUAUAUGUUAUGUUUCUAAUCUUUACACUUGAAAUAUUUAAGGACAGUAUUUUCUUAUCAUUGUAAAGGUGAUUUUUUUUCCCCCCUUUUUAAUGGGAAUUUUUUAACCAUAUCUGAAUAAUUGAAAUAUAGGAAGGCCAGCUAUUGUUAAGCAUUGUUAUGGCUUAACAGGGGAAAAACAAUGAGUAUCAAUAUAUUUAAGUUUACUUGGGUUUCUACGCAGCUGGAGUAUAUAUCUCUGUUUCUGCCUUGUUUGUUUUGAUGUUUAUUAUAGAACUUUUGUUUUCGGUAUUUUGUCUGAGCUUUCCAGCAGCAAUAACCAGGGAACAGAAAACUAAUUGUUAUAUACAGCAUUACAUGUACACUGUACAGAGGAAUUUUGUGCUCAGAAAUAAAAAUCUUGUAAUGGCACUGCUCAGUUUCUAGGAGCUGUUGAACAAUUCCCCCUAGUGCUAGAUCUUAGCCUGCAGAGGGCAGCCUGACCUAGCAUUUUACUUGAGCAGCGUGCUGAGCAGGAGAGUUCAGUACUGUGCUGGCAUCUCUAGCUAUUACUGUGGCUUUGUCGAGAAUAAACAACAGAAUAUUGUGGGGAAUUAGCAUCAGUCCUAAACUGAAAUGGAAUCAAAAGUGGACGGUCCCCCGCCCCUAAAAACUCUUGACUAAACCUUUUGGUAUUUUUUUCUUUAAAAGCGCAUUGAAAGAACAAAAUUGAAAACUCAGCUGAGCCUGAACUUUAAGUACCUCAAAUAGACAACAUGUAGGUUUCUUUGUAGAUAUCAGUAGCUAAGAGAAAAGGAAAUAUCUGUGGAUUGCAUGUAUUGGACAAGACUAACAGGAGAAGAGAAUUGUUUUUCCCUUACUCCAAAUCUCUUCAGGAGUCUUUUGAGAUCCAUUUAAGCUACUGUUAACAGGACUGUUAGAGUGUGCCUUUGGCUGAAUGGGCUGUGUCCUUUGCCUGGUCUGUCCUGAGUCCUUGCGGAACAAACAUCGCAAUUUCAAGGGGAUUUUGUUGGACAGCGUGUGCUCUGCACAGAUCUGUGCCUUAUCUCUCAAACUGAUCAGUGCCAGGUGGCAUACUAGGGGCUGCUAUCCUGACAUAGUAUGACGAGGCACAAGGCAUUCAGUUCUUGAAAAGGAGCCAGCACUUUGUGUGUCUCAAAUCAAAUUGCAUCCAGCAGCUGAUUAAGGAAUAAUCUUGAUGUGCUCUGAAGGAAGUCCUGUCUACUUCUAUAUUUUUCAGCCAGAGGGCCCUGCAGUGUAGUCUUCAGUGUAGAAAGUAAGUAUAAAGAAAAAGAGCAUCUGAGGAAUUAAGGCAGCGCUGGUAAGGUCUGAAUUCCAGAGGUACAGGAAGAAACCUAUCUGUGAAGUGUCUGUUAUGAUCAGAUAUGAAAUUACUCACUGAUACACUUUUACAUUGAUUUAGAUAAUUAAUUUCUUUGGGUCUGAACUUUCUACCCCACAUAUGCAUGGCUGUGCACAGCUAGAGUUUGGUUUGCUUCAUUUUAACUAUUGAUGAAUUUUUGCUUCUGAUUCCUAAAGCCUUCUCCAUGUAUAAGAGUGCUGAGAGAUUUUGAUUCUGGUUUAUUCAUAAUAUUUUAUGCAAUUCUUGCUAUAUUUUCAUAAACAUCCUUUGUAAUGUGAACUUUGACCAACGAAAUGUCUGUCACAGUUUACACUGAUAAUAUGAUGUAAAAGAUACACUAUGUAAAAAUGCUAUCGCGUUUAACCUACGUGUCAUAGAGAACUAUUUAUUGUACACUUAUUAAAAUGCUGUCUUGUUUUAGAAAUGUAAAGGUGUGCAGAGGAAAAGAGAAAUAAUUACUUGGGCUUAUAUCCUUUUUGCUUUAUGAUCUUUAGAGAAGGCUUAGAAUAAUGCUCUUUGUGUCUAAAAACAAAAUCAAAAGCCAGAACGCACAGACACACGCGCACACAGCCUUUCUUGGUUGUGUUGGGUUUCGUUUGGCUUCUGAGACUCUGAAGAACACUUACUUCCCGAUUCCCUUAUCUUUCCUAAAACAUUUAUGCCUAGAAACAGCUUUAGAAGUGAAGUCAAAAUUCUCCUGGGGUCUUUUGGUUUCAACAGUUGCAACUUUUGGAAAAAGAUCUCCUAUUGCAAAACACCUGAUUAAAUCUUAAGACUUACUAAUA
Molecule: non-coding RNA, 5671 nt
Organism: Struthio camelus australis
Lineage: Eukaryota; Metazoa; Chordata; Aves; Struthioniformes; Struthionidae
Source: RefSeq, a predicted model, not a curated record